GGGUUGUAGCUGGCUCUCCGGAGCAUGUGCACGCCUGUCUUGACUUAAUUCAUCCACCUGUGCACUUUUUGUAGUCUUGGAGGUUGAGAGCAGUCGACUAUCGGAUGGCUGUUAUGGCCUUUCCGGAUGUGAGGAAUUGCUGAGUGCAAAAGCAUACAGCUCUUCUCAAAAUGACUCGCAAUACCUCUCCUUCAAGUACUAUGUAUUCAUAUACCACAUAGUAUGUUGUAGAAUGUGAUCAAUGGGCUUAUGGCCUAUAAUAAUGAAAUACAACUUUCAGCAACGGAUCUCUUGGCUCUCGCAUCGAUGAAGAACGCAGCGAAAUGCGAUAAGUAAUGUGAAUUGCAGAAUUCAGUGAAUCAUCGAAUCUUUGAACGCACCUUGCGCUCCUUGGUAUUCCGAGGAGCAUGCCUGUUUGAGUGUCAUUAAAUUCUCAACCCCUCUAGCUUUUGCGAGCUACGAUGGGGCUUGGAUGUUGGGUUUGCGGGCCUUUAUUAAUAGAGGUCGGCUCUCCUGAAAUGCAUUAGCGGAACCGUUUGCAGUCCCGUCACUAGUGUGAUAAUUAUCUACACUGUGAUGAUUGCUCUCUGACUAGUCCAGCUGCUAAUCGUCCACUAUCGGACAAUACUUAAUGAACUUCUUGACCUCAAAUCAGGUAGGACUACCCGCUGAACUUAAGCAUAUCAAU
This 688-nucleotide ribosomal RNA is filed under the name uncultured Bovista. RNAcentral describes it as "eukaryotic LSU rRNA". The stretch from base 272 to 425 matches the Rfam family "5.8S ribosomal RNA". The record is from RNAcentral. Lineage: Eukaryota; Fungi; Basidiomycota; Agaricomycetes; Agaricales; Lycoperdaceae.